UUACCAAAACAGCAAAAGUUCCGACCGCGCACUAGGGUCACUGGGGCUACUUACUGGUGCAGACGUGAGGCAUAUCAUAAGCACUUUGAAAGUGUUUUUGAAACUCAGACGUUGUGCUCCACAAACCUGGGGAGCGGCCACUAAACCGUAAUGGGCAAUCUUCUACCCUCCACCGAUUUAGCUUCCGCAAGUAGAAGCGCCCAACAGGGUUCCCUCGAGGCGCGACAACCCGGAACAGCGUGGCUACGCCUACCCACUGCGCCUGCGCGAAUAGCCAGCUCUGCGGACGGCGAAGAGGGGGACAGGCCCCCGCCCCGUGGCGGGGAGACCUAGAGGUUUGCGCGCCUGCGCGAAGGGCUGCACCGUGCGCUGCGUCGUUAAUUUUGCAACGAGUGCUGGGGAACUGCUGUUGGAGCCAUUGUUGUCGUUGUCUGCCGGGGAGAAGUGCGUGCCUUCGUCCCCGGACCCAGUCAUGGCGCUGCAGCUCUCCCGAGAGCAAGGCAUCACCCUCCGCAGGUGCUCCGAAAUCGUGGCUGAGUUAUGAUCAUUUGGAAUCAACAGUAUUUUGUAUCAGGGUGGCAUAUAUCCAUCUGAAACCUUCACUCGGGUGCAGAAAUACAGACUUAACCCUGCUUGUAACUACUGAUCCUGAGCUCAUAAAAUACUUAAACAAUGUGGUGGAACAAUGAAAAGGGCAUGAACAUCCCUAUGGAAUUAAAAUGAGCCGCCUUCCAGCUACUAGGUUCCUGCCUGAGGGACUGGACGAUUCUGCCUCUUCUUUCAUCCUGAAGCCCAGGCACCUGGCCAGGAAUCAACAAGGUAGAGAUUCCCACUGGAAGAGUUAAAAAGAGUGCCAGCGCACGCCUGGCCUGUUGGAAGGGCUCGGGUACUUGUCCGGACUCCCCCAGCCUGGCUCUACCAACUGCAAAACCAGGACAGCUCUUUGGCACUUCUCUCACAUGCAUGUGUGACAAUGACAAGCUGCCCAACCCUAUUCUGGAUCUGCUUGAUUUUAUUAAUCAAAAAUGGCCGCUCUCAAGAGCUGUCUUCUGGACAGCGACCAGUGCAGAAUCCUGCAGAGCCUUAAAGGAGCAGCUCAAUUCCAGGGACAAAGUGGACUGGGAUGGUGAAUCCAUCUAUGUGGCAGUGGCGGUCUUAAAGGAUUUUCCUGAAAAUAUCCAAGGAAGUGUAUUUUCAUCCAGUCUCUCUGAAAAUGGCUAGCCAUUCCUGAGCAAGGGGAGAGCGAAGAUGAGAACAUAACUGCCACCCGGAGUUUUUUUAGACCCAAGAUUCACAGGUGAGGUGGGAUUUCUAGCGAUACCAUGUGAAGAAGAGCGCCCUGUUCUUGCCUGUGUUACAGCUUAGUCUGGUGCAAUUUCUCAUUGCAAACUGCCUCGAGAUAUUUGGAGAAGACGUCCCUUCCCUGCUGGGGGAGAGCUCGGGGAAUGGUGGUGCCAGUGAGGCUACAGGUACUCUGCAUGAUUCGGUUGGCUUUGGUGAGAAACAGACAGCAAGCGGGUUGCCAGGUUUCAUGGGAGAUGCUCAGACAGCGCUGUUCUGGAGCCUGCAGCGCUUCCCAAGGGCACUGAUUUCCACCUGCUCCUUCUCCCAAAGGCUGGCACACGGGUCACGGGAGGUUUCCCACCAUUGUGAGACCAAAGAAGAGAUAAAACAAGGUCUCUGACUUGAAGGGGUUGCUAGUGCAGAUCGUUAACAGCAUUAGGAGACAUCAUGGCAAGAUUCAUUGUUUGGGAAUCUUUCAAGCAAUGCUUCCCAAAGUACGCCUAUACACAUCAUAAUAGAUGGACUGUGUUUGAAAGUGGAUUGAAAGGCCUAGAGCACAGCCUGUUUGACUCACCCCACACCACCCCUGCCUUUUUCUGCUCUGUGGCCCUUGAGGCACCACAAGAUUCCAGUGUUCUCUGAAACAGGCUGGAAAGAACCAGAAUCAUUGACAAAGUCCAACUUGACUUUGUGUCAAACAGCAUUUCCAGAGUGUAAAUACCUGUGCCUCCAUUUACCAGUGUGUUAUCUUGGGCCAGUUAUUCUAUCUCGGUCUCAAGUUUCCUCGCCUAUACAAUGUGUAUGAAAAUGUGUGUGUGAAUCUGAGGAUUGUUGUGUAGAUUAAAUUAUAGAUAUAAAAUAAAAUUGGGAAAAAAAAUAGAAUUUGCCUUAAGACUAAAGUUAAAGUUAUUUGAUCCCAGCUAAUCAUGGCUAACUAGCAGCAGUUUGUUUUAUAAUGUAGAGUUUUUAGAUUCAGAACCUGCAAAUGUGUAUCAUGCACCCCUUCAUAUUUUGACAUUUCUUAGUUUUAUGAUACUUACUUCCAUUGCUUUUUGUCAAUUUUUAGGAAAAUACAUUUGAUCAGGGGUUUAGAUUAGUCUUGUAUCUGAGAACUUGCUUAUUCUAAUAUAACUAUUUGUUUUUCCUUUUAUCCGUGACAACAAAAGAAUCUUCUUGCAUCUCAACCAGUGACAGUGACAGUGACAGUGAUUCACAAAUGGCGCAACUAGAGUAUGAUGCCGAGGCCCCACCAAACAUGU
This is a non-coding RNA of Manis javanica (Malayan pangolin), 2543 nucleotides long. NCBI's taxonomy places the organism in Eukaryota, Metazoa, Chordata, Mammalia, Pholidota, Manidae. The record is from RefSeq and is a predicted model, not a curated record.